AUUGAACGCUGGCGGCAGGCCUAACACAUGCAAGUCGGACGGUAGCACAGAGGAGCUUGCUCCUCGGGUGACGAGUGGCGGACGGGUGAGUAAUGUCUGGGGAUCUGCCCGAUAGAGGGGGAUAACCACUGGAAACGGUGGCUAAUACCGCAUGACGUCGCAAGACCAAAGAGGGGGACCUUCGGGCCUCUCACUAUCGGAUGAACCCAGAUGGGAUUAGCUAGUAGGCGGGGUAACGGCCCACCUAGGCGACGAUCCCUAGCUGGUCUGAGAGGAUGACCAGCCACACUGGAACUGAGACACGGUCCAGACUCCUACGGGAGGCAGCAGUGGGGAAUAUUGCACAAUGGGCGCAAGCCUGAUGCAGCCAUGCCGCGUGUAUGGAGAAGGCCUUCGGGUUGUAAAGUACUUUCAGCGGGGAGGAAGGCGAUGUGGUUAAUAACCGCGUCGAUCGACGUUACCCGCAGAAGAAGCACCGGCUAACUCCGUGCCAGCCGCCGCAGUAA
RNAcentral lists this ribosomal RNA (506 nucleotides) under uncultured bacterium. RNAcentral describes it as "partial 16S ribosomal RNA". It matches the Rfam family "Bacterial small subunit ribosomal RNA", at positions 29 to 523 of the family's 1533-position model. The record is from RNAcentral.